AAACUACUGUUCAUAUGGGUAUGGUAGCAGGCACACACAGUACUAUGUAUUACAUACGGUUCCUAAACCCAGGUUGAUAACAGCAUUACUGCUUUCAUCAGAGUGUCCUUUUGUUCCUAGGUGAACGGCUGUUUCCUCUUAUUCAAGCCAUGCACCCUUCUCUUGCUGGCAAAAUUACUGGCAUGCUGUUGGAGAUUGAUAACUCAGAAUUGCUUCACAUGCUUGAGUCUCCAGAGUCUCUCCGCUCAAAGGUCGAUGAAGCUGUAGCUGUACUACAAGCCCACCAAGCGAAAGAGGCUGCCCAGAAAGCAGUGAACAGUGCCACUGGUGUUCCAACUGUCUAAAUUGAUCAGGGACCACGAACAGAAACUCGUGCUUCACCGAAGAAAAAUAUCUUAAACAUCGAAAAAUUUAAAUAUUAUGAAAAAAACAUUGCAAAAUAUAAAAUAAAUAAAAAAAGGAAAGGAAACUUUGAACCUUAUGUACCGAGCAAAUGCCAGGUCUAGCAAACAGUGCUAGUCCUAGAUUACUUGAUUUAAAACAACA
RNAcentral lists this long non-coding RNA (546 nucleotides) under Rattus norvegicus (Norway rat). RNAcentral describes it as "long non-coding RNA NONRATT026869". The record is from RNAcentral. Lineage: Eukaryota; Metazoa; Chordata; Mammalia; Rodentia; Muridae.